UACGUAUGUCGCAAGCGUUAUCCGGAAUUAUUGGGCAUAAAGGGCAUCUAGGCGGCCCUGUAAGUCUAGGGUGAAAACCUGCGGCUCAACCGCAGGCCUGCCCCGGAAACUACAGGGCUAGAGUGCCGGAGAGGUGGACGGAACUGCACGAGUAGAGGUGAAAUUCGUAGAUAUGUGCAGGAAUGCCGAUGAUGAAGAUAGUUCACUGGACGGCAACUGACGCUGAAGUGCGAAAGCUAGGGGAGCGAACAGG
Molecule: ribosomal RNA, 253 nt
Filed under: uncultured bacterium
Lineage: Bacteria
Description: partial 16S ribosomal RNA
Rfam family: Bacterial small subunit ribosomal RNA
Source: RNAcentral